RNAcentral lists this ribosomal RNA (464 nucleotides) under uncultured bacterium. Its description in RNAcentral is "partial 16S ribosomal RNA". It matches the Rfam family "Bacterial small subunit ribosomal RNA", at positions 29 to 507 of the family's 1533-position model. The record is from RNAcentral.
ACGCACGCUGGCGGCGUGCUUAACACAUGCAAGUCGAACGGAAAGGCCCCUUUGGGGGUACUCGAGUGGCGAACGGGUGAGUAACACGUGAGUAACCUGCCCUUGACUUCGGGAUAACUUCAGGAAACUGGGGCUAAUACCGGAUAGGAAUCCUUGCUGCAUGGUGGGGGUUGGAAAGCUUCGGCGGUUUUGGAUGGACUCGCGGCUUAUCAGCUUGUUGGUGGGGUAGUGGCUUACCAAGGCUUUGACGGGUAGCCGGCCUGAGAGGGCGACCGGCCACAUUGGGACUGAGAUACGGCCCAGACUCCUACGGGAGGCAGCAGUGGGGAAUAUUGCACAAUGGGCGGAAGCCUGAUGCAGCAACGCCGCGUGCGGGAUGACGGCCUUCGGGUUGUAAACCGCUUUCAGCAGGGGCGAAGCUUGUGGUGACGGUACCUGCAGAAGAAGCACCGGCUAACUACGUG